Molecule: ribosomal RNA, 459 nt
Filed under: uncultured bacterium
Lineage: Bacteria
Description: partial 16S ribosomal RNA
Rfam family: Bacterial small subunit ribosomal RNA
Source: RNAcentral
CCUACGGGAGGCAGCAGUGAGGAAUAUUGGUCAAUGGGCGCGAGCCUGAACCAGCCAAGUCGCGUGAGGGAAGACGGUCCUAUGGAUUGUAAACCUCUUUUGUCGGGGAGCAAAAGACGCCACGCGUGGCCUUCCGAGCGUACCCGACGAACAAGCAUCGGCUAACUCCGUGCCAGCAGCCGCGGUAAUACGGAGGAUGCGAGCGUUAUCCGGAUUUAUUGGGUUUAAAGGGUGCGCAGGCGGAAUGUCAAGUCAGCGGUAAAAUUGAGAGGCUCAACCUCGUCGAGCCGUUGAAACUGGUGGUCUGGAGUGAGUGAGAAGUAUGCGGAAUGCGUGGUGUAGCGGUGAAAUGCAUAGAUAUCACGCAGAACUCCGAUUGCGAAGGCAGCAUACCGGAGCGCAACUGACGCUCAUGCACGAAAGUGUGGGUAUCGAACAGGAUUAGAUACCCUUGUAGUC